Lepisosteus oculatus (spotted gar) is the source of this 1142-nucleotide long non-coding RNA. RefSeq lists it as uncharacterized. NCBI's taxonomy places the organism in Eukaryota, Metazoa, Chordata, Actinopteri, Semionotiformes, Lepisosteidae. The record is from RefSeq and is a predicted model, not a curated record.
CUCUGAUCCGCAGCGCCACACCUCUCCUGCAUGCUGGACCUCAGCUGCUGCUGAGUUAAUACAUAUCAAGGUUUUCCAACCCUGUAUCAUCUCAUGGGAAGCUGGAUAUUUCAAGAUUUCUACCACAGAAUGCAAUGCAUCAGAAACAACAGAUCACCACACCAAUCAAGUUCUCAGACCUCUUUUGCAGCCCCUCCUGUGGGCUUAUCCUGCAAAUCAACAUUUUCAGCAGUAAAAAGCAUGUUUUCAUGGUACUUAUGCAACAGCAGUGUUCCUGGAAGAGAAGCCCAUUGAACACUUGGAUGAUCUGGGAUGACACGAGGCACCUAGGGCUCAGAGACCAGUGAACAAGCAUGUGGGUGGUAUGAGAGGAAUAGGACGGACUCCCACAGGACAGCAUCUGUAACCUGGUGCAAAGCAGGUGCUCCUUGUAUUGUCUCCACAAGAGGCCACACAGGCUGCCAGCCUGUGAAUUUCACACUAAAGCCUUGUGUUAAUCAGCAGGACGAACUUUCCUAUGCCAUGGCCAUUCAACAAAAUAUCAGUACACCAGCUACAGAAGAGGAAUGUGUCAUUUUCCUCUUCACAACUGAGUUUUUUUUUACAGUUAUAAGUGAAGUCUCUUUGGAUAUUUAGUAUGAACAGAAGGAGACAAAACUCUGUCCUAAUGAUUCUUAGAUGCCUCUGGGCCAUUUUGCACACAAUUUCACUGCUCUGCUCAGAAGCACGGGCAGAAACUACAGACAUCUGCAGAACCCAUAAUGAGGACCAGAGAAUAUGUUUACACGUUCUCUCCCGCUUCUAAUUACUGAUGCUGUCUCCUUCAGCAGCUUGUCAUAAGCCUUUAGCUUUCCAAGUGAACCAUACACUCUCAGAACAGACGCAAUGAACAUCAGACGAUUCCCCGCAGACUAGCUUCGGGGCAGGAGAAAAGUUUCCUGCCUUUGGCUGAUGAGAACUGCCGCAGCAGGAUUCGGUCAAGGCUGCUCACCAGCACUGCAGCCACGGAGCCACAUCACGGUGUGGUCCGCCAUGCCAAAAGAUAAGGUGUGCUACCCGAGAAUUCACUGCUAUCUCGAUUCCAUGGCGGUGACGCUACUUUCUGUUCUAGGGCAAAUGCCAAUAAACAAUGAUACACACAG